Molecule: ribosomal RNA, 561 nt
Filed under: uncultured Caulobacter sp.
Lineage: Bacteria; Pseudomonadati; Pseudomonadota; Alphaproteobacteria; Caulobacterales; Caulobacteraceae
Description: bacterial SSU rRNA
Rfam family: Bacterial small subunit ribosomal RNA
Source: RNAcentral
GCAACGCUGGCGGCAGGCUAACCCUGCGUUAUAACGGAUCCUUCGGGAUUAGUGGCGGUACGGGUGAGUAACACGUGGGAACGUGCCCUUUGGUUCGGAACAACUCAGUGCAAACUUGAGCUAAUACCGGAUGUGCCCUUCGGGGGAAAGAUUUAUCGCCAUUGGAGCGGCCCGCGUCUGAUUAGCUAGUUGGUGGGGUAAAGGCCCACCAAGGCGACGAUCAGUAGCUGGUCUGAGAGGAUGAUCAGCCACAUUGGGACUGAGACACGGCCCAAACUCCUACGGGAGGCAGCAGUGGGGAAUCUUGCGCAAUGGGCGAAAGCCUGACGCAGCCAUGCCGCGUGAAUGAUGAAGGUCUUAGGAUUGUAAAAUUCUUUCACCGGGGACGAUAAUGACGGUACCCGGAGAAGAAGCCCCGGCUAACUUCGUGCCAGCAGCCGCGGUAAUACGAAGGGGGCUAGCGUUGCUCGGAAUUACUGGGCGUAAAGGGAGCGUAGGCGGACUGUUAAGUUAGAGGUGAAAGCCCAGGGCUCAACCUUGGAAUUGCCUUUGAUACUGGCA